RNAcentral lists this ribosomal RNA (1522 nucleotides) under metagenome. RNAcentral describes it as "bacterial SSU rRNA". It matches the Rfam family "Bacterial small subunit ribosomal RNA". The record is from RNAcentral.
AGAGUUUGAUCAUGGCUCAGAUUGAACGCUGGCGGCAGGCCUAACACAUGCAAGUCGAACGGUAACAGGAAACAGCUUGCUGUUUCGCUGACGAGUGGCGGACGGGUGAGUAAUGUCUGGGAAGCUGCCUGAUGGAGGGGGAUAACUACUGGAAACGGUAGCUAAUACCGCAUAACGUCGCAAGACCAAAGAGGGGGACCUUCGGGCCUCUUGCCAUCAGAUGUGCCCAGACGGGAUUAGCUAGUAGGUGGGGUAACGGCUCACCUAGGCGACGAUCCCUAGCUGGUCUGAGAGGAUGACCAGCCACACUGGAACUGAGACACGGUCCAGACUCCUACGGGAGGCAGCAGUGGGGAAUAUUGCACAAUGGGCGCAAGCCUGAUGCAGCCAUGCCGCGUGUAUGAAGAAGGCCUUCGGGUUGUAAAGUACUUUCAGCGGGGAGGAAGGGAGUAAAGUUAAUACCUUUGCUCAUUGACGUUACCCGCAGAAGAAGCACCGGCUAACUCCGUGCCAGCAGCCGCGGUAAUACGGAGGGUGCAAGCGUUAAUCGGAAUUACUGGGCGUAAAGCGCACGCAGGCGGUUUGUUAAGUCAGAUGUGAAAUCCCCGGGCUCAACCUGGGAACUGCAUCUGAUACUGGCAAGCCUGAGUCUCGUAGAGGGGGGUAGAAUUCCAGGUGUAGCGGUGAAAUGCGUAGAGAUCUGGAGGAAUACCGGUGGCGAAGGCGGCCCCCUGGACGAAGACUGACGCUCAGGUGCGAAAGCGUGGGGAGCAAACAGGAUUAGAUACCCUGGUAGUCCACGCCGUAAACGAUGUCGACUUGGAGGUUGUGCCCUUGAGGCGUGGCUUCCGGAGCUAACGCGUUAAGUCGACCGCCUGGGGAGUACGGCCGCAAGGUUAAAACUCAAAUGAAUUGACGGGGGCCCGCACAAGCGGUGGAGCAUGUGGUUUAAUUCGAUGCAACGCGAAGAACCUUACCUGGUCUUGACAUCCACGGAAGUUUUCAGAGAUGAGAAUGUGCCUUCGGGAACCGUGAGACAGGUGCUGCAUGGCUGUCGUCAGCUCGUGUUGUGAAAUGUUGGGUUAAGUCCCGCAACGAGCGCAACCCUUAUCCUUUGUUGCCAGCGGUCCGGCCGGGAACUCAAAGGAGACUGCCAGUGAUAAACUGGAGGAAGGUGGGGAUGACGUCAAGUCAUCAUGGCCCUUACGACCAGGGCUACACACGUGCUACAAUGGCGCAUACAAAGAGAAGCGACCUCGCGAGAGCAAGCGGACCUCAUAAAGUGCGUCGUAGUCCGGAUUGGAGUCUGCAACUCGACUCCAUGAAGUCGGAAUCGCUAGUAAUCGUGGAUCAGAAUGCCACGGUGAAUACGUUCCCGGGCCUUGUACACACCGCCCGUCACACCAUGGGAGUGGGUUGCAAAAGAAGUAGGUAGCUUAACCUUCGGGAGGGCGCUUACCACUUUGUGAUUCGUGACUGGGGUGAAGUCGUAACAAGGUAACCGUAGGGGAACCUGCGGUUG